AGAGAGAGAGAGAGAGAGAGAGAGAGAGUUGGUGAAAUGGAUUGGUUGUUGAAGAAGAAGAAGGAAUCACGAAAAGGGGAUUUGGGAUGUUAAGUUGACCAUGGCCGUAUAGAAUUGAAACAAUGGAGGUCUGUUAAAUUAGGAGAGUGAGGGAGAGAGUGAAAAGCGAUGGCUGAAUGGGAGAGGACGAAAAGGAUUUUAGAAACAGAGACACAGAGGCGGUGCAUCUCAGAAUUUAACAACAGUCGUGGGAAAUUGGAAGUUCAAAAAAUAACCAGUUUUUUACUUAACACGCUCAUCAAAAUCAAUUUUAUUUUUAUUUCCAAAA
This is a long non-coding RNA of Cucurbita moschata (crookneck pumpkin), 328 nucleotides long. RefSeq lists it as uncharacterized. The record is from RefSeq and is a predicted model, not a curated record. Lineage: Eukaryota; Viridiplantae; Streptophyta; Magnoliopsida; Cucurbitales; Cucurbitaceae. The transcript has 2 exons.